GACGAGUGGCGGACGGGUGAGUAAUGCUUGGGAACUUGCCUUUGCGAGGGGGAUAACAGUUGGAAACGACUGCUAAUACCGCAUAAUGUCUUCGGACCAAACGGGGCUUCGGCUCCGGCGCAAAGAGAGGCCCAAGUGAGAUUAGCUAGUUGGUAAGGUAACGGCUUACCAAGGCGACGAUCUCUAGCUGUUCUGAGAGGAAGAUCAGCCACACUGGGACUGAGACACGGCCCAGACUCCUACGGGAGGCAGCAGUGGGGAAUAUUGCACAAUGGGGGAAACCCUGAUGCAGCCAUGCCGCGUGUGUGAAGAAGGCCUUCGGGUUGUAAAGCACUUUCAGUUGUGAGGAAAAGUUAGUAGUUAAUACCUGCUAGCCGUGACGUUAACAACAGAAGAAGCACCGGCUAACUCCGUGCCAGCAGCCGCGGUAAUACGGAGGGUGCGAGCGUUAAUCGGAAUUACUGGGCGUAAAGCGCACGCAGGCGGUUUGUUAAGCUAGAUGUGAAAGCCCCGGGCUCAACCUGGGAUGGUCAUUUAGAACUGGCAGACUAGAGUCUUGGAGAGGGGAGUGGAAUUCCAGGUGUAGCGGUGAAAUGCGUAGAUAUCUGGAGGAACAUCAGUGGCGAAGGCGACUCCCUGGCCAAAGACUGACGCUCAUGUGCGAAAGUGUGGGUAGCGAACAGGAUUAGAUACCCUGGUAGUCCACACCGUAAACGCUGUCUACUAGCUGUGUGUGCCUUUAAGGCGUGCGUAGCGAAGCUAACGCGCUAAGUAGACCGCCUGGGGGAGUACGGCCGCAAGGUUAAAACUCAAAUGAAUUGACGGGGG
This 828-nucleotide ribosomal RNA is filed under the name Alteromonadales bacterium HOT1D8. RNAcentral's name for it is "bacterial SSU rRNA". It matches the Rfam family "Bacterial small subunit ribosomal RNA", at positions 90 to 919 of the family's 1533-position model. The record is from RNAcentral. Lineage: Bacteria; Pseudomonadati; Pseudomonadota; Gammaproteobacteria; Alteromonadales.